Molecule: long non-coding RNA, 897 nt
Organism: Mobula hypostoma (lesser devil ray)
Lineage: Eukaryota; Metazoa; Chordata; Chondrichthyes; Myliobatiformes; Myliobatidae
Exons: 3
Source: RefSeq, a predicted model, not a curated record
GCUUCAUAUCGCAGGAUUCCUGAGGAUUCUUGAUGCCCACGGGAUUCAGAAGAGGACACACAGGAAAGACCUGUGAAGAUCCUGUAACUGCGGAAGCCAGAUUCAGGAAAUGACAUUAAACAAUCGUGAAUCUUGAAUCUAGUGUUUGUGAAUUCAUGGACCGUUCAGAAAUCAAACAGCAGAGGGAAAGAAGCUGUUCCUAAAGAGAUUGAAGAAUUGUGAUCAAUCGAUGCCUAGGAUAGAUCUGCAAGUCAGAAUUCAGAGAUCCCCUGACAACAACGGCAUUCAAGUCCCCUGACAACAGCAACAAUCAAGUGGAGACUAAGAACUGUGAGCCCCGAAAUCUUUGUAACUUACUACGUAGCAUUUUGUGUGACUCAUUGUGCUUUCUAUUCUAUGAUAAUAAAUUAGGCUUAAGUUACUUUGUUGUGCGUGUACAUUUAUUACCACAUCUCCUGGACACACGAAUGGUCAAUCCAGCCCAUUACAAUCCUGCACCAUUCAAACACUCUGAGCAAGAUUAUUUGAGUUUCCUCAUCACCCACCUGCAGGCACAGACACCACCAAAGGAAAAUUAUUUGGAACAAAACUGCACAGUCUAUUAGAAAGGGUAGACGAGGACCUGAUGGUGAUAUUAGAAAUUGAUUCUGAACAAGGGAACAUCAGCUUUUAGUUGGUUCAUCAAGUUCACCGUGUCUGAUCUGCUCCUCUCUGUCUGCCCUUAGCACGCUCCACUGACAAAGAUGAUCAGUCUCAGGUUAGCUAUUUUCCAUGUCUCCAUGGGAGGAUCCAUGAAAUGAGUCAACUUCAGAUGAUACAAGUCUUCUAGACGAGGUAAUAAGUGGGAAAUCCUAUAGAGGUUUCAUAUUACUCGAUUCUUUGUGUUAUGUAGUGUGC